CGGCAAGAUAUUGUGUCUAUAU
Molecule: small nuclear RNA, 22 nt
Filed under: Arabidopsis thaliana (thale cress)
Lineage: Eukaryota; Viridiplantae; Streptophyta; Magnoliopsida; Brassicales; Brassicaceae
Description: snRNA_12826
Source: RNAcentral